CCGUCAUGAGAUGAUCACCGAUCCAGUACUGAACUUGGUUCAGGAACGAUACAUCUGAAUAUCACCGAUUCCAAGAGAGAGACUUGACCCAGCAUGCUUCCUUGCACAUCCAAGAACCAUCAUAUAUCUCGUCUCAGAGGCUUGGGAUGUUCUCACACAUCAAUUAUGGACAAUGAACAUAACAUAUGUAUAACGACUACUUCCAAUGAACACAUAUAAUACAUCGUCAUCAUGACAUACACGUGCAUCAUAUUAUAUCACAUAUAAAUCACCAUUUAAUUCAUAACCCGUGGCAUAUAGACUACUUGUCAAUAUAAAGUAAAGUCCUCAUAAUAUUUCAAAAAUCAUUUUUCCAUGUGUCAUCAUAACCCGCAAUAUGUCCACAACAUUUAUUACGUGCCAUCAAAUCCAUCACAUAAUUCAUUCUUCAAUCAGCAUGACGUACAUAUCACGUAUAAUAUGUCAAAUACGUACAAUACAUAACCCAUUUAACAUGUACAACACAUAACCCACAUGAUACACUUAAUAUAUAAUAUGCACCCCAUAUAAGCCUACAUCAUAUAAUAGUAUUUCACCCUAUUAUAGCAUAAUAAAACAACAUAACAAUUCCACUUACCAUAACCUGAUAGAUUAUCGCCCUAAACGUGAUAACCUAUCAGAAAAACCAGAUAAUUUAUCAUUAACAAUCCAAUAACAUAGCACCCUAACAUGAUAACUUAUCAUCCUAGGCUCGAUAGCUUAUCACCCACGAUCCGAUAGCCGAUCACUUUGAAAUCCAAUAACCUAUUGGUAAAUGUUCGAUAACCUAUCUAAGCCCAAUAAUCACUUAUCACAUAACAUCUACUUAUCACAUCAAUAAAUCAUCAUUUAACCUUAAUCUCACCCUAAACUACUUAAAAAAUACAACAACAACCCUAAUCAAGGGUUAGAAAGCCACUCAUAAACUAAUCCAAGCUUCAUAAAGCGCCGGGAGAAGUGCGACAAAGCUGGACAGUUGCUGGUCGCGCCUCCACAGUGCAUGUGAGAGGCUGGGUAGUGAUUGAAUGGUGGUCCGGUGGUGGUACGACGAUGGCACUGCCUUCAGGCUUCACUGAGGGAGGAGAACCAAACGAAGAAGAAAUGAGCGAGAGGGAGCUGCUGUGGGGGCUGGAUAGUGGCCUCCACAGCUUCAAAAGCUUGGCUAUGGUAACAGAAACGGAGUGUGGAGGGUGGUGCGGUGUCGGGGUGCAAAGGACUGUCACCGGUAAUUGAAAAACAAGAGGAAAAAAUGAAGAAACGAGCUUGAAAUGGAGAUGAAAAUAGAGGUGGUGGCUUUGGUAGUGUCAAGAGGAGAGAAGGGGUGAGUUUGAGAGUUUCAAAUGAGAAAAAUGAAAGUGAGAGUGAGAAAGAAAAGGGGUGACUGACGGUGAGGG
RNAcentral lists this long non-coding RNA (1412 nucleotides) under Eucalyptus grandis. RNAcentral describes it as "long non-coding RNA (EGRA_LNC002677)". Lineage: Eukaryota; Viridiplantae; Streptophyta; Magnoliopsida; Myrtales; Myrtaceae. The record is from RNAcentral.